UACAGAGGUCCCAAGCGUUGUUCGGAUUCACUGGGCGUCACGGGUGCGUAGGUGGCUAGGAAAGUCUGAUGUGUAAGCUCCGGGCUCAACCCGGAAAUGGCAUUGGAAACUGACUGGCUAGAGGGUCGGAGGGGAGACUGGAAUUCGCGGUGUAGCAGUGAAAUGCGUAGAUAUCGAGAUGAACACCGGUGGCGAAGGCGAGUCUCUGGACGAACCCUGACACUGAGUCACGAAAGCUAGGGGAGCAAACAGG
RNAcentral lists this unclassified non-coding RNA (253 nucleotides) under uncultured Verrucomicrobiota bacterium. RNAcentral describes it as "uncultured Verrucomicrobia bacterium contains 16S-23S intergenic spacer region". It matches the Rfam family "Bacterial small subunit ribosomal RNA", at positions 524 to 776 of the family's 1533-position model. The record is from RNAcentral. Lineage: Bacteria; Pseudomonadati; Verrucomicrobiota.